GUGCCUGCGUGCGGGACACAUCCUCCAUUCCCUCGUCUUCUACACCGGCGCGGGGCAGGGCUCAUUGCGAGCGUCACCAACAGGAAAGAAGUCACCCACUGCGCCUUCACUCGGGUAGCGGGCACAGGAGCUUCUAGACAUGCCGACGCCCAUCGCGUGGCCGUGGCGUAGACGCAUCAGCCGGCACAGCGGGAAUGGCGAGCCCCGUGGACGCCAUCAAAGUGGACGUCGCUGUCAAGCUGAUUGGCGUUAUUGGGUGCAGUGCCUCCGGCAAGUCCACCGUCGCCCAUCAGCUGGCGAGCAGGCUUGACUCGCCGUUGCACCCAAUUUGCACAGACAGCUUCUUCUUCGAUGAUGUCUGUGCGCAACUGGGCACCUACGAGGACUACAGGUGCAUCGACUAUGGCGCUGUGGCACGGUGGAUGUCGGUGUUGGUGCACGCCGUGUCGACGGUGUCUGUGAGCCCACUGGAGGAGAGGUGCGCACCUGCUUCAUCACCCGCGGCGCGAGCCGCAAGCGCAGACGGCGAUACUGCCCUGCACCACCCCCCACACGACUUGGAAGGUCGGGUGCAUAACGCAUGGUGGGAAGAGGUGCUGCUGCACCUACCAGAGCUGGGCAAGUAUCGCCGUGCUGCGCCGGAUGCCACGUCUGCCACCACGGCUCCCACAACUGUCUUUGCUGCCGCUGCUGAUACUGCUACCCCUAUUGCCCAGUCCAGCAGCACGGUUGCUGAGGCAACACCCGCCGGCGCUCAUCCACAUGACGGGACUAGUGACAGCGAUGGAGACGCAUCGCUCGGCGCACACGAGGCUGAGGAAGAAGGCCGACGGCGGAGAAGUGUUGCCGCGUUCACACAGCGAAGAGAGGGGGGUGGCGGCACCGUGUGCUCGUCUCUUGAGCUUCGGAGUGGCAGCGAGGAGCAGGCGCCUCACGCCGGUGCUCCUUUCUGGCACCCCGUCAUCAUCUACGUUGUGUGGGAGGGUUUCCCACUCCUUUGCAAUCGCUUGGUCAACUCCUACAUUGACUACGCGAUCGACGUUCGCUGUGACCUGGAGACGGCGUGCUUGCGGCGGUUCUUCCGCACCCCGCGCCGCCAUCUUGCUCGAUAUCUCGCUCUCGACUCUGCAGGAGGCUGCCAGAAUGGACAAGAUGAGUCGCAGCUGGGGCUGCAGCGCGCGCGAGCCGCUGUCGUGGCGGGUGUCGUGCGUCAGGUCUACCGUCCACGCAUCGAGCAACUGUGGCGUGCUCGGUCGCGGGAGCAACUUCGCGCCGAUCUCACGAACGCCCUGGCGCAGGAAAUGCGACUGGAUGGCUUGCAGGCGCUCGCGCACGGCGACAGCCCCACUGCCACGUCUCCGCCGACGUGCAUUACGGCGCGCGAUGCCUUGGAUUUACUCUCCCCUUCCUGCUUUGAUCCGCCUCGUCCGCGUUGCCGGCGCCAACCGGCCCACUCUAGCGCCGCCAAGGCUAUGGGCGACGGCGGCAGUGGCACCCGCCUUCAGGGCGAGAGCUGUGGUGCUGAUGCUGCAGCGUCCACCAUAUCAAGCCCCAGCGCUUCGUCAGUGGCGGCCGCGGAGGAGGUUGGGCGUCGCUGUUCUGCGUGCUGGUCCGCUGACGGGUUGCCCACUAAUGCCUUUCAACUGUUUUGGGAAAGCGAGUUUGAUGAAUGGCUGGCGCGGUCGUCGUCGUCGCCGUCGGCCACCACUGCUGCUGCUGCUGCAGCCCUUGCCUGGGCCUCACUGAAGCACAGAGACGGUGAGGGCGCAGCUGCGCACGCCGCGCACCGCGUCGACGAACGGCAGCGCGACAUAAAUGGCAGCUUCCGCCGGACGUCGCCACCACGGGUGACACCGUCUAAUGAGGAGCCUGGGGUGGCGUAUGUGAAUCGCAUGCUUGCGCAACGCGGACGUCUUGCAUUGCUUCAGAGCUUGUCUUGCGGCGAGCGGGCAGUCGCGCCGUCUUCUCCAGAGGCGUUCAGCAUAGGCGGCAAGGGCGCUGCCUCAGCCGGGCUCGGCCUCGAACAGCAGCUGGCGGUGGGCGGAGUCCACAGCACAACGUCUCUGACUGCGGAGACGCUCUCGUCAGCGCUGGCGCCGUUCUACUACGAGUUCCGUUACUGGUACGUUUUCGAAGUUCUCUAUUACGAUCGAAUAUUCCGCCCACUGCAAGCCCACCGUCUGCGGUGGCGCUCCGUUGUGGGGGAGAGUAGUGCCGCGCCCACCGACGGCGAAGGCAAGAGUGGUGAGCUUGGCGGUUGUGGGGCCACUGAUGCACCAUGCGCUGUACCCCGUCGAUGGUGGGCAGUGAAGAACGGCCGUGAUGUGCACGGGCAGGACGCAGGCGAGCUCCUGACGCAGGUGGAUCACAUCAGUGCUGCCAUACGUGCCAUUCGCUAAGCUCUCUCCACCCCCUCUAUCUUUUCCGCCGUGCACACGCACACACGUGUGCGCCACGUGCGUGACUGUAUGGGGUGUGUCGAAGGAGAUAGUGGAAGGGUGCAGCGAGACGAGAGGCGAUGCCAUCAGCUUCACGGCAUGAGCCCCAAAACGCAAAGAAUAGCAUGCGCGAAC
This 2573-nucleotide unclassified non-coding RNA is filed under the name Leishmania donovani. Its description in RNAcentral is "gene:LdHU3.16.0680(CDS-product:AAA_domain_contain ing_protein_putative)". Lineage: Eukaryota; Euglenozoa; Kinetoplastea; Trypanosomatida; Trypanosomatidae. The record is from RNAcentral.